GGGUCAUUAGGUUGGUCGUGCCACCGGUACGUACUGGUCUCACUGAUUCCUCCUUCCUGAAGAACCGUAAUGCCAUUAAUUUGGUGUUGCGGGGAAACAGGACUGUUACUUUGAAAAAAUUAGAGUGUUUAAAGCAAGCUAACGCUUGAAUACAUUAGCAUGGAGUAAUGAAAUAGGACGAUCGAUCCUAUUUUGUUGGUUUCUAGGAUUGACGUA
This 216-nucleotide ribosomal RNA is filed under the name Glomeromycotina sp. RNAcentral's name for it is "partial small subunit ribosomal RNA". The stretch from base 40 to 216 matches the Rfam family "Eukaryotic small subunit ribosomal RNA", at positions 686 to 864 of the family's 1831-position model. Lineage: Eukaryota; Fungi; Glomeromycota. The record is from RNAcentral.